RNAcentral lists this ribosomal RNA (451 nucleotides) under uncultured bacterium. RNAcentral describes it as "partial 16S ribosomal RNA". It matches the Rfam family "Bacterial small subunit ribosomal RNA", at positions 29 to 523 of the family's 1533-position model. The record is from RNAcentral.
AACGAACGCUGGCGGCAGGCUUAACACAUGCAAGUCGAACGGGCAUAGCAAUAUGUCAGUGGCAGACGGGUGAGUAACGCGUGGGAACGUGCCCUUUAGUUCGGAAUAACCAAGGGAAACUUUGGCUAAUACCGGAUAAGCCCGAGAGGGGAAAGAUUUAUCGCUGAAGGAGCGGCCCGCGUCUGAUUAGCUAGUUGGUGAGGUAAUGGCUCACCAAGGCGACGAUCAGUAGCUGGUCUGAGAGGAUGAUCAGCCACACUGGGACUGAGACACGGCCCAGACUCCUACGGGAGGCAGCAGUGGGGAAUAUUGGACAAUGGGGGCAACCCUGACCCAGCCAUGCCGCGUGAGUGAUGAAGGCCUUAGGGUUGUAAAACUCUUUUAUCCGGGAAGAUAAUGACUGUACCGGAAGAAUAAGCCCCGGCUAACUUCGUGCCAGCAGCAGCCGCGG